GACGAACGCUGGCGGUGUGCUUCACACAUGCAAGUCGAACGAGGUAGCAAUACCUAGUGGCGGACGGGUGAGUAACGCGUGGGAAUCUGCCCAUAGGUGGGGGAUAACUAGCCGAAAGGUUAGCUAAUACCGCAUAUGCCGAAAGGUAAAAGGAGUAAUCCGCCUUUGGAUGAGCCCGCGUCCGAUUAGCUAGUUGGUAGAGUAAAAGCCUACCAAGGCGACGAUCGGUAGCUGGUCUGAGAGGAUGAUCAGCCACAAUGGGACUGAGACACGGCCCAUACUCCUACGGGAGGCAGCAGUGGGGAAGUUUUACGCAAUGGGGGGAAACCCGUGACGUAGCGACACCGCGUGAAUGAAGAAGCCCUUUGGGGUGGUAAAAUUACUGUCGGCUGGGAAGGAAAAAAAUAAGACGGU
Molecule: ribosomal RNA, 414 nt
Filed under: uncultured bacterium
Lineage: Bacteria
Description: bacterial SSU rRNA
Rfam family: Bacterial small subunit ribosomal RNA
Source: RNAcentral